Molecule: ribosomal RNA, 236 nt
Filed under: Bacteroides uniformis
Lineage: Bacteria; Pseudomonadati; Bacteroidota; Bacteroidia; Bacteroidales; Bacteroidaceae
Description: partial 23S ribosomal RNA
Rfam family: Bacterial large subunit ribosomal RNA
Source: RNAcentral
AGAACUGUGGGGACACGUGUGGAGAGCACAAGCCGGGAAUGGAAAGCCCGGCGCAAGCGAGGUAGGAGUCGUACUGGCAAAUCCGUACGGCAAUCCGAAGACGUGAUGCGUACCGAAUUAAGAGUAGGGAAGAGUGUGAGCCAUGCGUCAAGAAAAGCCGCUAUUGUUUGUAUCGCGCCCGUACCGUAAACCGACACAGGUGGAUGAGGAGAGAAUCCUAAGGCCGACGGGAGAAG